Molecule: ribosomal RNA, 253 nt
Filed under: uncultured bacterium
Lineage: Bacteria
Description: partial 16S ribosomal RNA
Rfam family: Bacterial small subunit ribosomal RNA
Source: RNAcentral
UACAGAGGCCUCAAGCGUUAGGCGGAAUCACUGGGCUUAAAGCGCGUGUAGGCGGGUCGUUAAGUGUCUUGUGAAAUCCCACGGCUCAACCGUGGAACUGCUGGGCAUACUGGCGAUCUUGGGCCACGUAGGGGUUGCCGGAACAAGCGGUGGAGCGGUGAAAUGCGUAGAUAUCGUCAAGAACACCGAUAGCGAAGGCAGCUUACUGGGCUGUAACUGACGCUGAGGCACGAAAGUGUGGGGAUCAAACAGG